This 79-nucleotide ribosomal RNA is filed under the name Serratia marcescens. Its description in RNAcentral is "partial 16S ribosomal RNA". It matches the Rfam family "Bacterial small subunit ribosomal RNA", at positions 1 to 79 of the family's 1533-position model. Lineage: Bacteria; Pseudomonadati; Pseudomonadota; Gammaproteobacteria; Enterobacterales; Yersiniaceae. The record is from RNAcentral.
UAAUUGAAGAGUUUGAUCAUGGCUCAGAUUGAACGCUGGCGGCAGGCUUAACACAUGCAAGUCGAGCGGUAACACAGGA